GGAUUGCUUGAAACAUAGUAGUUUGCUCCAUCGAGAAUUUCUCACCUGUGAUGUAUUUGGGAGUGUUUAUCAUGUUCCUAAUUCAGAUGCCUGCAGCUAUGCCUCCAGUCCCUCGAGAAGUCAUCAUGGAAUCCCUCACAGUCAGCCAGUUGAACAGCUUGUCAGAGGAAAUAAAUGUCCCGGGACCUCCGAAAUCUACUGAGAAUGAUGAAUACCUUGAACAGUACCAAUGUGAUGACCGUGGAGGCAAGGAGAAACCAAGAAGAUCAAAAGAACAUGAACUGAUUUCAAAAGAAAAUGUUUUCUGCAUCAAAGAGUCUUCUGAGACUGCUAUUACAGAUAGAUGCCAAGAUACAAAGGAUGAGACUAAAAAAACUGACAAAGAGCGUUACCAGAGAAAGAGGGAACAUUCUCCUACUGAAGAGAAGGAGAGUCAAAAAGAUGGUCAUUCCAGCAAGAGAAGGUGCUCCCGGAGUGUGGAAGUUGUUAAGCAAAAGUGUUAACAUAAGUUGGUGAUAAUACUGAAAUAUUUUUGGUUCAGAUCUAGAUUUGAUUUCUCCUAAGCACACUGAAUUCACAGCUAUUGAUCCUCCAGAGGAGUCUCUGCAUUUUUACACCCGGAGAAUAUGUAAACUUCCUGCUAUUGUUCUACUGUUUUUGUUUUGUUUUGUUUUGUUUUGUUUCUACUAGUAUAGGCUUAAGAAUAUAGAGAAAUGGUCUGCUUUUAUUUUCAUUUUCACUUUUUUUCAUUUUUCUCUAAAUAUCAGUAAAGUUCCUGCUUGACAAGGAGCAUAUACUUUCCUCUGAGAAGGCUAAUUCAUCAGAAAACAGUUCUUUGCAACUUCUGGUAUUAAAUGUUGCUUAUGGGAAGACUUAUUUUUAGUGAAUCAAGAGAUAUAUUCAUAUAAUUCCAGUCUCUGUUUUUUGGAAGUGUUUUUCUCUGGCUAGUCCGCGAAGUACUCUGAUAUAAUUUUUCUAUCUUCUUGAUCUCUCUUUAGGAAGUAAAAUAUCCUGAGUAUUUGGACCUCUGAGCCUACAUGUCUCAAUCAAGUGGAGAACCACUCCUCUACGCCUUAUAUGCGGUGCUGGUGCAUCAUGGUAUCAACUGUCGCACAGGACACUAUGUAUGCUACAUGAAGGUAGAAGUCAACAUCAUUUCUAACAGGGUAAAGGUUGUGCUGGCAAACCAAUUAAAGUGUUACUAGUAGUACUGUUUCUAGGCAAAAAGAUCUUCUGAAAUAAUCCCAAACUUGAAAAUGGGGUCUUGUAUAAAAUCUUAAGCUGUGAUUGACUCUCUGCUUAAGAGAGGCCAAACGUGUACCUACUGAGAAGCUAGGUGAUAAGUGUUUUUGUACACUUAAAAGUGGUCAUUUUGUAAAGAGACUGCUGAAAAAUACAAACAGUGCUGCUGCAGAACUCUGAAUGGGGACCUAGCAACUGUCUUAACUGAUCUGGAAUCUUGAGUUUACUUUUCAGUGGACAGGAGGAGAGUCUCUCAAGGCA
This 1503-nucleotide long non-coding RNA is filed under the name Anser brachyrhynchus (Pink-footed goose). RNAcentral's name for it is "lncRNA (ENSABRG00000004617.1)". Lineage: Eukaryota; Metazoa; Chordata; Aves; Anseriformes; Anatidae. The record is from RNAcentral.